GGUUAAGUCGAUCGGUCCUAAAGGAUGAUGAUCUCGAGUAGACCUGAAAGAUGUAUGGAAUUCGAAAAGCAUAGUCCCUGAGUGUCCAACUAGAGAUGGAGAAUGGCCGUGCCUGACACGGCAAGGCCUAGGCCCACCAGGUCGAAGGUUUAAUGGGUCAUGCCAGGCAGAGUCCAUAUAAUAAAUGGGCCGUGCCUGACGUGACCUGUUUAAACAAAACCCCUAGCCUGGCAAGGCCCUAAGCCCAGUGGUGGUGGGCCAUGCCAGUCACGGUCUAUUAGGCCCGCAUACCUAAUGGGCCUAACCAAUUUUUUUUAAAUUUUUAAAUAUAAAAAUAAAAAAUAUUAAGUAAUAAAAGUAUAUGAG
Molecule: long non-coding RNA, 366 nt
Filed under: Elaeis guineensis (African oil palm)
Lineage: Eukaryota; Viridiplantae; Streptophyta; Magnoliopsida; Arecales; Arecaceae
Description: long non-coding RNA (EGUI_LNC031794)
Source: RNAcentral